RNAcentral lists this ribosomal RNA (433 nucleotides) under uncultured bacterium. RNAcentral describes it as "partial 16S ribosomal RNA". It matches the Rfam family "Bacterial small subunit ribosomal RNA", at positions 29 to 507 of the family's 1533-position model. The record is from RNAcentral.
AACGAACGCUGGCGGCAUGCCUAACACAUGCCAGUCGAACGAGACCUUCGGGUCUAGUGGCGCACGGGUGCGUAACGCGUGGGAACCUGCCCUUAGGUUCGGAAUAACUCCCCGAAAGGGGUGCUAAUACCGGAUAAUGUCUUCGGACCAAAGAUUUAUCGCCUUUGGAUGGGCCCGCGUUGGAUUAGCUAGUUGGUAGGGUAAAAGCCUACCAAGGCGACGAUCCAUAGCUGGUCUGAGAAGAUGAUCAGCCACACUGGGACUGAGACACGGCCCAGACUCCUACGGGAGGCAGCAGUGGGGAAUAUUGGACAAUGGGCGAAAGCCUGAUCCAGCAAUGCCGCGUGAGUGAUGAAGGCCUUAGGGUUGUAAAGCUCUUUUACCCGGGAUGAUAAUGACAGUACCGGGAGAAUAAGCUCCGGCUAACUCCGUG